CUCAGACUCAGAUGAAAGAAACUCUGAUGGUGCUGUGACCCAGAAUAAAACUAAUAUUUCAACAGCAAGUGCCACAGUUUCUGCUGCCACUAGUACUGAAAGCAUUUCUACUAGGAAAGUAUUGCCAAUGUCCAUUGCUAGACAUAAUAUAGCAGGAACAACACAUUCAGGUGCUGAAAAAGAUGUUGAUGUUAGUGAAGAUUCACCUCCUCCCCUACCUGAAAGAACUCCUGAAUCGUUUGUGUUAGCAAGUGAACAUAAUACACCUGUAAGAUCGGAAUGGAGUGAACUUCAAAGUCAGGAACGAUCUGAACAAAAAAAGUCUGAAGGCUUGAUAACCUCUGAAAAUGAGAAAUGUGAUCAUCCAGCGGGAGGUAUUCACUAUGAAAUGUGCAUAGAAUGUCCACCUACUUUCAGUGACAAGAGAGAACAAAUAUCAGAAAAUCCAACAGAAGCCACAGAUAUUGGUUUUGGUAAUCGAUGUGGAAAACCCAAAGGACCAAGAGAUCCACCUUCAGAAUGGACAUGAUUCAGGGAGCUAGAAGACACUUUAAGUUAUACUGGAAAAUUCAGGUGCCACUGAAAGCCAGAUUUAUAGUAUUCCAUCUUUAAUAUGUGGGACUAACAGCAGUGUAGAUUGUUACCUUAAUAUUUUUUGCUGGGACCAUCUACCUGCCUUAUACUACACUUAGGAAAAAGUAUUACAUAUGGUUUAUUUUGAAACUUCAAGUAUUAUUGCCUUAAUGUCUCUUAACCCUGUUACACGCUGCUUGUAGACAUGUUAAUAUAGUAAUACCUUUAUGAUAUAUUGAGUUUAAGGACUACUCUUUUUCUGUUUUAUCAUGUAUGCAUUAUUUUGUAUAUGUACAGGGCAAGUAGGUAUAUAAUUUGAUAAAGUUGCAAUUGAAAUAUUAUUAACAGAAGAUGUAAGAAAUUUCUGCAUGGUCUAAAUCUUUGUGUACUUUAUUUGUAAAUUAUUUGCCCUGGAGUUUUAGAAAAUAGUUUCUGAAUUUUAAACUUGCUGGAUUCAUGCAGCCAGCUUUGCAGGUUAUCAGAGAUCAAAGAUUGUAAUAAUAAUUUUGUAAAUUGUAAGCAAAAAGUUAUUUUUAUAUUAUAUACAGUCUAAUUGUUCAUCCUAAUUGUUCCUGUUUUCAUCUAGUCAGAGAUUCAGUAAGUGCCUUGGAACAAUAUUGAAUUCUCUUAGCUUGUGUGUGUUUCUUUAAUAUUUGAACUCAAGUGGGAUUAGAAGACUAUCAAAAUACAUGUAUGUUUCAGGAUAUUUGACCUGUCAUUAAAAAAAACAAACAGUUU
RNAcentral lists this long non-coding RNA (1311 nucleotides) under Homo sapiens (human). Its description in RNAcentral is "long non-coding RNA NONHSAT212276.1". Lineage: Eukaryota; Metazoa; Chordata; Mammalia; Primates; Hominidae. The record is from RNAcentral.